This 350-nucleotide ribosomal RNA is filed under the name Escherichia coli. Its description in RNAcentral is "partial 23S ribosomal RNA". It matches the Rfam family "Bacterial large subunit ribosomal RNA", at positions 173 to 561 of the family's 2925-position model. Lineage: Bacteria; Pseudomonadati; Pseudomonadota; Gammaproteobacteria; Enterobacterales; Enterobacteriaceae. The record is from RNAcentral.
AAUGAGGCGAACCGGGGGAACUGAAACAUCUAAGUACCCCGAGGAAAAGAAAUCAACCGAGAUUCCCCCAGUAGCGGCGAGCGAACGGGGAGCAGCCCAGAGCCUGAAUCAGUAUGUGUGUUAGUGGAAGCGUCUGGAAAGGCGCGCGAUACAGGGUGACAGCCCCGUACACAAAAAUGCACAUGCUGUGAGCUCGAUGAGUAGGGCGGGACACGUGGUAUCCUGUCUGAAUAUGGGGGGACCAUCCUCCAAGGCUAAAUACUCCUGACUGACCGAUAGUGAACCAGUACCGUGAGGGAAAGGCGAAAAGAACCCCGGCGAGGGGAGUGAAAAAGAACCUGAAACCGUGU